Molecule: long non-coding RNA, 363 nt
Organism: Nanorana parkeri
Lineage: Eukaryota; Metazoa; Chordata; Amphibia; Anura; Dicroglossidae
Exons: 3
Source: RefSeq, a predicted model, not a curated record
GCAUUUAAACAAAUAUUGAGCAUUUAAAAAUAAAUGGCAAUCUUUUCAUCCGGUCAUUACGGAAAAGAAAACGUAGCCUUGUGUUGUGGUAUUCUAGAGUACUAACAUGGACUGCACUAGAGUAAACUACGAAGUGCUCAGGAGGUUUAUAAUACAGUAUAUACCUCUGCUUUUUGUUGUAUUAAUACCUGUACCGAGGUACAUGUAGGCGUCAUUUAAAGACCUCAGCACAGGCUCGGCCCUUGGUCGAGGGGGACUGGCGAGGAAACUGGCGACCAUUGUGCCAUGGCGCUGAUCACCUUGUAAAUACUGCGGUUUUUAAAUGACCUAAAACUCUAUGCUAAAUGCUAUUGUAUUUACUAA